CAGUGAGCUGAGAGCCGGCCACUGCACUCCAGCCCGGGCGACAGAACGAGACUCCGUCUCAAAAAAAAAAAAAAAAACACCAUUUGUGGCAUGAGAGUGGUAGCAGCGUGAGGUGGAGGCACCACAAUGCCUGAUCAUGUGGGCCAAAAGCAGCUCAUAGCCCAUUUCUGUUCAGAUCUGUGUACAGGUGUUCAUAAGACCAAGAUGAAUAAGAUGCUCUGUUCCUGUCAAACGGUUCAUGUUCCCUUCUGUGUUAGUCCAUUCUUGCACUAAUACUUGAGACUGGAUAAUUUGUAAAGAUAAGAGGUUUGAUUGACUCAUGCUUCUGCAGGCUAUAUGGGAAGCAUAGCGGCUUCUGCUUCUGGGGAGACCUCAGGAAGCUUCCAGUCAUGGUGUAAGGCAGAGGGGGAGCGAGGCAUCUCACAUGGCGGGAUUAGGAGCAAGAGGGAGUGAGGGGGGAGAUAGUAUACACUUUGAAACAACCAGAUCUUGGGAAAACUCACUACCACGAGAACAGCACCAAAGGGAUGGUGCUGAACCUUUUAUGAGAAAGCUAGCCUCAUGAUCCCACCACCAGGCCCCACCUCCAACAUGGGGACUACAGUUUGACAGGAGAUUUGGUGGGGACAGAUCCAAACCAUGUCACCUUCAAAGACUCACCUCCAGCAGGAGGGAGGUAAAGGUCAAUUAGCCAUCGUAGUAUUACUGUAUAGUGAUGAUUGCAGAGCUAGGCAUAGAUGUGGCACAAGGAACUCUCACCUGUCUUGAGGAGAGAUCAGAGGAGGAAAUGGAACCCAAAGAUCUGUCUACCCCCUCAGAGAUGUUGGUAAUCCUGCAUGAAAAACCAGUUUAGUGCUCGCCUCGGCAGCACGUAUACUAAAAUUGGAACAAUACAGAGAAGAUUUGCAUGGCCCCUGUGCCAGGAUGACACGCAGAUUCGUGAAGCAUUCCAUAUUUUUGUCACCCUGGACUUCGAGCAGGAGAUGGCCACUGCUGCAUCCUCCUCCCUGAAGAAGAGCUACGAGCUGCCCGAUGGCCAGGUCAUCACCAUCGGCAACAAGCGGUUCCAGUGUCUGGAGGCGCUGUUCCAGCCUUCCUUCCUGGGUGUGGAAUCUUGCUGCAUCCACGAGACCACGUUCAACUCCAUCAUGAAGUGUGACGUGGACAUCCGCAAAGACCUGUACACCAACGUGGUGCUGUCCGGCGGCACCACCAUAUACCCGGGCAUCACCGACAGGAUACAGAAAGAGAUCAACGCCAUGACACCCAGCACUAUGAAGAUCAAGCUCAUAGUACAAGUACUCGAUGUGGAUCAGCGGCUCCAUCGUGGCCUCACUGUCCACCUUCUAGCAGAUGUGGAUUAGCAAGCAGGAGUACAAGUCAGGCCCCUCUAUCGUCCACUGCAAAUGCUUCUAAAUGGACUGCGAGCAGAUGCAUAGCAUUUGCUGCAUGGGUUAAUUCAGAAGUAUAAAUUUGCCCCUGGCAAAUGCAUACACCUCAUGCUGGCCUCACGAAACUGGAAUAAGCCUUCGAAAAGAAAUUGUCCUUGAAGCUUGUAUCUGAUAUCAGCACGGGAUUGUAGAACUUGUUGCUGAUUUUGACCUUGUAUUCAAGUUAACUGUUCCCCUUGGUAUUUGUUUAAUACCCUGUACGCAUCUUUGCUUUCAACCCUUAGUACAUGUGGCUCGGUCACUGCAUGGUAAGGUCAGAACGUGCUUGUGGAAGACAAGUCUGUGGCUUGGUGAGUCUGCAUGGCCAGCAGUCUCCAAUCUAUGCGGGAUAUUAAUAUAUCAUGGCUGAGUGUUCUGGGAUUUCUCUGGAGGCUGGCAAGGGCUCCUGAACCAGUUGUUUCUGUCCUGCGGGUCUGUCAGGGUUGGCAAGUCCAAGCCAUAGGGCCCAGUUUCCUUUCUUAGCUGAUGUUUUCCUGCCAGAACACUGUGGGCCGUGGAAGCGGUUUGCAUUUACACCUGUAAAUAUAUUCCUGGUUCUAGUUUAUGUAAGGUUUUUUGUAUGCAAUUCUCAAUUCUUUAAAGAGAUGAGAACAGAUUUUGUUUUUCUACUGUUACGUGAGAACAUUAGGCCCCAGCAGCACGUCAUUGUGAAGGAAAAAUAAAAGUGCUGCAGUAACCAAAAAAAAAAAAAAGAAAGCCAUCCUGGC
Molecule: non-coding RNA, 2158 nt
Organism: Chlorocebus sabaeus (green monkey)
Lineage: Eukaryota; Metazoa; Chordata; Mammalia; Primates; Cercopithecidae
Source: RefSeq, a predicted model, not a curated record